Molecule: ribosomal RNA, 384 nt
Filed under: uncultured bacterium
Lineage: Bacteria
Description: bacterial SSU rRNA
Rfam family: Bacterial small subunit ribosomal RNA
Source: RNAcentral
AUUGAACGCUGGCGGCAUGCCUUACACAUGCAAGUCGAACGGCAGCACGGGGGCAACCCUGGUGGCGAGUGGCGAACGGGUGAGUAAUGCAUCGGAAUGUACCCAGUAGUGGGGGAUAACUAGUCGAAAGACUGGCUAAUACCGCAUACGCACUAUGGUGGAAAGCGGGGGAUCGCAAGACCUCGCGCUAUUGGAGCAGCCGAUGUCCGAUUAGGUAGUUGGUGGGGUAAAGGCCUACCAAGCCUGCGAUCGGUAACUGGUCUGAGAGGACGACCAGUCACACUGGGACUGAGACACGGCCCAGACUCCUACGGGAGGCAGCAGUGGGGAAUUUUGGACAAUGGGCGCAAGCCUGAUCCAGCAAUGCCGCGUGUGUGAAGAAGG